CAGGCCUAACACAUGCAAGUCUAACGAGAAACUCCGGGCUUGCUCGGAGGAGUAAAGUGGCGCACGGGUGAGUAACGCGUGGAUAACCUGCCCCAGAACCUGGGAUAACAUCGCGAAAGCGUUGCUAAUACCGGAUAUUGUCCCUUAAACCGUGGUUUUUGGGAUGAAGGGUGACCUCUCUUUAGAAGUUGCCGUUCAGGGAGGGGCCCGCGUACCAUUAGCUUGUUGGUAGGGUAAUGGCCUACCAAGGCUACGAUGGUUAGCUGGUCUGAGAGGAUGAUCAGCCACACUGGAACUGAAACACGGUCCAGACUCCUACGGGAGGCAGCAGUGAGGAAUUUUGCGCAAUGGGGGAAACCCUGACGCAGCAACGCCGUGUGAGUGAAGAAGGCCUUCGGGUCGUAAAGCUCUGUCAAGGGGGAAAAAAUCCUUUCGAUUAAUAGUCAUUAAGGACUGAUGGUACCCCUAGAGGAAGCACCGGCUAACUCCGUGCCAGCAGCCGCGGUAAAACGUAUGGGCAAGCGUUAUCCGGAUUUACUGG
Molecule: ribosomal RNA, 541 nt
Filed under: uncultured bacterium
Lineage: Bacteria
Description: bacterial SSU rRNA
Rfam family: Bacterial small subunit ribosomal RNA
Source: RNAcentral